This 464-nucleotide ribosomal RNA is filed under the name uncultured Thauera sp. RNAcentral describes it as "bacterial SSU rRNA". It matches the Rfam family "Bacterial small subunit ribosomal RNA", at positions 917 to 1381 of the family's 1533-position model. Lineage: Bacteria; Pseudomonadati; Pseudomonadota; Betaproteobacteria; Rhodocyclales; Zoogloeaceae. The record is from RNAcentral.
CGGGACCGCACAAGCGGUGGAUGAUGUGGAUUAAUUCGAUGCAACGCGAAAACCUUACCUACCCUUGACAUGUCUGGAACCUUGCUGAGAGGCGAGGGUGCCUUCGGGAGCCAGAACACAGGUGCUGCAUGGCUGUCGUCAGCUCGUGUCGUGAGAUGUUGGGUUAAGUCCCGCAACGAGCGCAACCCUUGUCACUAGUUGCCAUCAUUUAGUUGGGCACUCUAGUGAGACUGCCGGUGACAAACCGGAGGAAGGUGGGGAUGACGUCAAGUCCUCAUGGCCCUUAUGGGUAGGGCUUCACACGUCAUACAAUGGUCGGUACAGAGGGUUGCCAAGCCGCGAGGCGGAGCCAAUCCCACAAAGCCGAUCGUAGUCCGGAUUGUUCUCUGCAACUCGAGAGCAUGAAGUCGGAAUCGCUAGUAAUCGCAGGUCAGCAUACUGCGGUGAAUACGUUCCCGGGUCUU